AGGCUACGAGUUGGUAGAGCAUUCGGCUGUAGUGGUAAGGGUCCCUGGUUCGAGUCCGGGUCACUG
Cyanidioschyzon merolae strain 10D is the source of this 66-nucleotide non-coding RNA. NCBI's taxonomy places the organism in Eukaryota, Rhodophyta, Bangiophyceae, Cyanidiales, Cyanidiaceae. The record is from the annotation of a RefSeq genome assembly.